Syngnathoides biaculeatus (alligator pipefish) is the source of this 597-nucleotide long non-coding RNA. RefSeq lists it as uncharacterized. Lineage: Eukaryota; Metazoa; Chordata; Actinopteri; Syngnathiformes; Syngnathidae. The transcript is spliced from 3 exons. The record is from RefSeq and is a predicted model, not a curated record.
UUUUUGAAUCUCAACCGUCGAAUUAUCUAAAUUUCCCUUCAACAUGAGGUUUGCGGUGCUCUGAAUUUCCUUGGUGGAAGUGAAUGCAUCGUCUAAAACACAAUCAAGCUUGCUGCAGAACCGACGAAGCUUGUGAAAAGCUAUUUAUGUGGCGAUCUGGAAGAAAAACGAAUGAAAACAACUUACAUCUAAUUGAGAUGAAAAAAAGAAGACGAGACCAGAGUAGCAGGUACAUUUCAACCGGGACAUAAUAAAGGUGCGGAUCACAUAUUUUUUCCCAGAAAGAAUUGUCAUUAGAAGCCUUGUAGUUAUGAAGCAAAUGGAGCAGUAUUGUGACAACUAGGAGCAUAGAGUUAUAAUAAAUUAAGAUGUCAUUUGACAAAUGCAUUUUGUAUUUCUUUGGGUUGUCUCUGAGUUAUAUUAAAAUUGGUUUCAUGAUUUUAAACCUUUGUGUUUGAGAUUUAUUCCCCCCCCCCCCAAAAAAAAAAACCAAAAAAACCCAAAAAAAUGAAAUCUUGAGGGGGCAAAUAGUUUUUCACGGCACUGUAGAUGCAGAACCAAUUCUCUCCAAUCAUGAUUGGAGGGAUAUUCAAAAUC